RNAcentral lists this long non-coding RNA (2278 nucleotides) under Homo sapiens (human). Its description in RNAcentral is "HSALNT0123996". Lineage: Eukaryota; Metazoa; Chordata; Mammalia; Primates; Hominidae. The record is from RNAcentral.
UGGUCUUGAACUCCUGACUUCAGGUGAUUUGCCCACCUCCGCCUCCCAAGGUGCUGGGAUUACAGGCGUGAGCCACCACACCCAGCCCAUUUCUUCCACAUUCUAUUGCGGUUUCCUGGGCAAGAAUCCUGAGAGAAGACAGCCAGGCUCACACCACCUUUUAUGACCUAAUCUUGGAAGUCCCAUAACAUAAUUUCUCCCACAUUGUAUUGGUCAGGCAGUUGCAAAGUUCAGGGAUCAGAAAUAUUGCAUUGUGCAUUUUUGGAAAAUACAACAUCUUCAGACACACAGAGUGGUGGUGAGCCAUCCAUCCAUUCUCCUCCAACCUAACAAUUUUAGGAAAGGACCUUUGAGUGUGCACGUGUGUGUGUGCAUGUGUGUUUCUGUGUGACCAUAAUCCUGUUUUGAGUUAAUUGUAGUUUUCAGUUGCUGCUAUUUUUUAAAUUCUAAAUCAUAAUUUUAUACAUUACCCACAUUAGUAUGGGUCCAUAGUUAUCAGUUUAGUUUGCUGAAGGUUAACUCUGAAGCCCAUGCUGGUUAGUCAUGCAUAUUUAUAUUAAUAGUAUUUGGCAUAUAAAUUUAUAAUAAUUGGAAAUUAAGAUGUGUCUACAAGGUAUUUUGAAUAUAAAGAGUAUUUUGAAUAUAAAGCAUCAGUGUAGGGAGCACCCCUCCCUACCCUGGGCUUGGGUUAUAGGUAAGACGCUUGCUUUAUCAAUCAGUGCUAUGGAACAGGGAAUCAUAAGAAGAGCAUGGAGAAAACCAAUGAUUCUCCACUUAACCCAACAAAAAUAAACCUUUUAAAAACACAUCUACAUGACAGCAUAUACUAUUGCUGGAUUUGGUGAAUGGCAUGUGUGAUUUUUUUCUUUAUUUUUUUUUUCUCAGGCUGGAGUGCAAUGGCAAAAUCUCGGCUCACUGCAACCUCUGCCUCCCAGGUUCAAGCGAUUCUCCUGCCUCAGCCUCCCUACUAGGGGUGCUCACUACCACACCCACCUAAUUUCUGUAUUUUUACUAGAGAUGGAGUUUCACCAUGUUGGCCAGGCUGGUCUCGAACUCCUGACCUCAGAUGAUCCACCCACCUCAGCCUCCCAAACGGUUGGGAUUACAGGCGUGAACCAACACGGCCGGCCAGCAUGUGUGAUUUGACUUUCCUUUGCAAUAGUAAGAAUGGGCUUCACUGAUCCAUCCUCUUGUCCAUUUAUUCACCCAAGCCUCUGUGAACCAGAUGAUUAGAAAAGUGAGGGCUAAAACUCAACCAAACAUAUUGUCGGGGAAUGAAAAUGUGAGUCACCAAAGAUGGUUCAAAGUAACUGGCGGGGCAGGAGGGUGAGCAAAUGCGACAUCUCCUGGGUCCCAGUUAACAGUUGUCUGCAAAUCCAAAGGUACCAACUGAUCAAUAGAAAACAGGAAGAUAAUGAUAGACACGCAGCACUCUGGCUUCCAGCAACCACACUCCUGACUGCAGAACCUCCUUAAAAGACCACCAGAAUUACCUGUUGAUGAAGCAAAACUAGGUUUAUUGAUCUGUUGCAGUCAGAGAGAGCAUCGUCUUAGCAGAGACUCUCAGAAGCACCACAAAAGUCAGAAGCAGAUAUUUAUAAGACUCAGGGGUCUGGGCUUAAGAGACUUCAGGUGGGCCUUUCAAUGUGGCAAUCUUACUGGCAUUGGGAAAAAAUUCAUGUUGUAAUAAUUUAGAAUUGAUGGGCGCAGAGAGUCUGAAUAAGUAUACAGUUAUUUGAUCAUUGAAUUUGUAUUAGUCAUUUUGACACGGCUAUAAAGAUACUACCCAAGACUAGGUAGUUUAUAAAGGAAAGAGAUUUAAUUGACUCACAUUUCUACAUGGCUGGUGAAGCCUCAGGAAACUUACAAUUAUGGUGGAAGGGGAAGCAGGCACCUCUUCACAAGGCAGCAGGAGAGAGAAGAGACAGCAUGUACAGGAGGAAAUGUCAAACACUUAUAAAACCAUCAGAUCUCAUGAAAAUUCCCUCACUAUCACAAGAACAGCAUGGGGGAAACUUCCCCCAUGAUCCAAUCACCUCCUACAAGUUCUCUCCCUCAACACCCGGGGAUUACAAUUCGAGAUGAGAUUUGGGUGGGGACACAAAGCCAAACCAUAUCAGAGCUGUUUUGCCCCAAGGGGGAAACUAUUGCUUCAAUAAAUUGGUUUUCAGAAAUGUUCUGAUAUGAGCAGAGAAGAUAUUUAUUGGUUUAUGGUCUUACCUUUCUUAGCAAGAAUUUCCUGGAGUAUAGCCCUGCCCCAAGGGUGACUAGAGGCCUA